AGGCCUAACACAUGCAAGUCGAACGGUAGCACAGAGAGCUUGCUCUCGGGUGACGAGUGGCGGACGGGUGAGUAAUGUCUGGGAAACUGCCUGAUGGAGGGGGAUAACUACUGGAAACGGUGGCUAAUACCGCAUAACGUCGCAAGACCAAAGAGGGGGACCUUCGGGCCUCUUGCCAUCAGAUGUGCCCAGAUGGGAUUAGCUUGUUGGUGAGGUAACGGCUCACCAAGGCGACGAUCCCUAGCUGGUCUGAGAGGAUGACCAGCCACACUGGAACUGAGACACGGUCCAGACUCCUACGGGAGGCAGCAGUGGGGAAUAUUGCACAAUGGGCGCAAGCCUGAUGCAGCCAUGCCGCGUGUAUGAAGAAGGCCUUCGGGUUGUAAAGUACUUUCAGCGGGGAGGAAGGUGUUGUGGUUAAUAACCGCAGCAAUUGACGUUACCCGCAGAAGAAGCACCGGCUAACUCCGUGCCAGCAGCCGCGGUAAUACGGAGGGUGCAAGCGUUAAUCGGAAUUACUGGGCGUAAAGCGCACGCAGGCGGUCUGUCAAGUCGGAUGUGAAAUCCCCGGGCUCAACCUGGGAACUGCAUUCGAAACUGGCAGGCUUGAGUCUUGUAGAGGGGGGUAGAAUUCCAGGUGUAGCGGUGAAAUGCGUAGAGAUCUGGAGGAAUACCGGUGGCGAAGGCGGCCCCCUGGACAAAGACUGACGCUCAGGUGCGAAAGCGUGGGGAGCAAACAGGAUUAGAUACCCUGGUAGUCCACGCCGUAAACGAUGUCUACUUGGAGGUUGUGCCCUUGAGGCGUGGCUUCCGGAGCUAACGCGUUAAGUAGACCGCCUGGGGAGUACGGCCGCAAGGUUAAAACUCAAAUGAAUUGACGGGGGCCCGCACAAGCGGUGGAGCAUGUGGUUUAAUUCGAUGCAACGCGAAGAACCUUACCUGGUCUUGACAUCCACAGAAGAAUCCAGAGAUGGAUUUGUGCCUUCGGGAACUGUGAGACAGGUGCUGCAUGGCUGUCGUCAGCUCGUGUUGUGAAAUGUUGGGUUAAGUCCCGCAACGAGCGCAACCCUUAUCCUUUGUUGCCAGCG
This 1088-nucleotide ribosomal RNA is filed under the name Salmonella enterica subsp. enterica serovar Agona str. 22.H.04. Its description in RNAcentral is "bacterial SSU rRNA". It matches the Rfam family "Bacterial small subunit ribosomal RNA", at positions 44 to 1123 of the family's 1533-position model. Lineage: Bacteria; Pseudomonadati; Pseudomonadota; Gammaproteobacteria; Enterobacterales; Enterobacteriaceae. The record is from RNAcentral.